Molecule: long non-coding RNA, 833 nt
Filed under: Rattus norvegicus (Norway rat)
Lineage: Eukaryota; Metazoa; Chordata; Mammalia; Rodentia; Muridae
Description: long non-coding RNA NONRATT024346
Source: RNAcentral
CCUUGCCCCGUGUAUAAACUUCAGAGGGUGCAGUUAACCCUCUGUGACAGCCGCACAAAGCAGAAUGUCAUUGGAAUUGGUGGUCCUUCUGCCAUCAAGGUUGGUGGGUGGGUCCCCAUCCUGCCUUUGUCUCCCAAGCCUCCUCUACAUGCUACCCUCACUAAAAAAGGUGCUAACAAAAUCUCAGUGCUCUCCCCUUCCCUAUGCUUCCUAAAACCAAGUAGUCAAACAGGAUCUCAAAUCCAGGCUAGAGGUGGAGGGAGCUAUGGGCCCCGAGGCAACAUCUUUGCAGGAUCCAUGCGUAGUCCUUGUGGAAGGAAGGAUCUGUCUUGAUUUAUUAUAUCCAUAAGUUAUUUCCACAAGAACCUGGACAAAGUCCUCUUGCCACCGAGAGUUGUAGGCGACAGAAAGGAAACUGGCAAGUUCAGGCUCCUGAAGCCAACAGAUGUGACCUCUCGGUGACAAUCUCCCUGAGGAGGUGGACACCAUAGCGUUUCGAAAGCAGGAAGCUGGAAGGCCCGGAAGCCAGAGCAUCACACAGAAAGCCCUUCACAGACUAAGAUUCAGAAGAACAUCGCAUAUGUGUCAAAACUGCCUAGAAUGUAGUGCUCGCAAAGCAGAACUAGUGAAAGAGAUUUUCCUGGGGACCCCAGCCGACCCAGGCCUGGUUUAUUAUUUUCUGCUUGUACUGUGCUAUAGUUCUGCAGAGUGAGAAAACCAAAUAAAACAUGUAGAGGGUCUCUCCAUAUUGUUUCUUACAACUUACGGGAAUCCAGUUAUCUCAAAAUAUCAAAUAUCAAAGCCAGUUAUUUUUAAAAAAAAAAAAUCCAAAC